Molecule: long non-coding RNA, 2117 nt
Organism: Clupea harengus (Atlantic herring)
Lineage: Eukaryota; Metazoa; Chordata; Actinopteri; Clupeiformes; Clupeidae
Source: Ensembl
CGCCUGUGAUGCAAAAAGCUGUAUCAAGCUGAGACAGAAUCUUCGGAAUCAAGUCUCUGGACAUAUCCAGCACAUUAUCUGGAAGUCCAUCCUGGUGGGUGCCAAUGUCCUGGUGUAAGCUAUUGACUUUCUUCAGGAGUCGAAUGACCAGCAUAGAGACCAAGGAGGCAUAGUCAUUCUUGUUGGACUCUAACAGACGUAGGUGACAUGAAAUGGUGACUCCUUCACACUGACUAUUUUGCAUCAAAUCUGUAUGUUUGUCAAAAGUACGAGGGAGCAGAUUGUUUGAGUUAGUGGUGGAUGAUCUAGUUUUAGUGUCAUGUGCCUGUUUGUCUAAGAGUUUCUGAUCCUCCUUAACUAAUUCCUUCAAGUCAGAAGCAUCAUUUUCUUUUAACUCUGUGGAGAGUGCCACCAUGGCUUCGUUGGUCAUCACUUGUGUGAAUACGUUAAUAGUACUUCCAAACACCUCAGGUGAUGAUUUUGAGGUCUCUAGAUUAUGCUGUACAAGUUCUUGAUUGUCAGAAGAUGCUGAGGGGAACAAACAUGACAGGAGUAGUCGCUUCACAGCCUCCUCUUCAUAACUGUAAAUUAACUCUGAUGGAAUUUCAUUCUUUCCCUCAGCUCCAGAUGGUAAUUUGCAAAGAAUAGAAUCUGAAAGACUCUUUCCAACUGGCACAGAAAUGGUCUGGAGACCAUGAUAACUUUUUAGUGUCUUUUGUACGUGAUCUGCAAUAUCAAAGGAAUAUUGACCUAUUUGAAUUUCAGUGAUCAAUUUAUCCAGUCUUCGAGUGAUGGGUACAAGUUUUUCCCAUUCUAAGAUGGUGUCUAACACACUACUGAUGGUUUCAUUUGCACAUCCAGGAGACAAUGAAGCAGCAUCCAUGUCAACAAAAGUAUGCGUCAGAAGAGGGGAAAUCCUUUCGAUAAACACUUCAGGGAGAACAGAAGUACCAGGGAGUUUGGUUUGGUCAUCUAUUUCUGAGUGAAAUGAUACUGAGGAGUGUGACGAUGGCAAUCCAGGGCUUUGUGAUCUGUCUGUUUCUGUUUCAAUGUCAAUCACUUGUACUUCAUUCAACAUAGCACUAAGGAUCUUAUCAAUCAGCUCUACCUGCUCUAGAUUUUCCGCCGUCUUGAGAUCGGGAAGUUCACUCUGCAUGGACACAAUUACUUGGCUAGUGACACUGAUGGCAGAAGCCACUGUCAUUUUCUUUUUACUGUCACAGUGAACAGAUUUGGAAAACAAUUUCCCCACCAUGUUCUGAAUGGCAUUGAACAUUCUUUGAGAUGUUGUCCUGUAGAUCCUCAUUGGAACAACAGUUCCUAGGGCUCGUGUUUUCUCCAAAGAGAGAAAGACCAGAGUCAGAAAUAUUAGAUUAACAGUAAUAUGCGAAAGAUUUUACGUUGGCAAAAUCAAACUCACAGGCACACAUAGAGCGUCACUGACAAUUCUCCAAUGACUGCAAAAGAGAAAAGAAUUUUAGAACAUUGGAACUUAAUGAUCCGACAGGCAAACACAGAGUUUUUUUUAAACUUGUCUCUUACUCUUCCGUCAUGUUUUCCACAAGGUGGCGUAUCAUGGGGGAGACGUUCAUACGAUCCAGAUCUGAAAAAGCACUAGUUUUAUUUUUAAGAUAUUGGGCAUGGAAAACGUCAAUUUUAGCAAUUUUAGGUCUUUGGGCAGAGAGGAACUUGUACUGACUGUUCUUUUAUAUACUAAAACUCUUUUUGACUACUUUUAUUGACAAACUUUUCAUGUCUGAAUUUGGCAUAGACUAACCUGCAUCAAACCUUUUGGUCCUCGUUGUAGAACUACAUUCAGCUCUUGAUUCCUCAAAAGAUUUUUUCUUUGGCUAAGGCAAAUCAAAUAGUUAGUUGUAAUCAUCAGUUAAUUGUCAGCAGUCAGUCCCUCCAGGAUUUUGGAAUGAAACACAAGUCAUGGACUUUCUGCAUCACUUGCAAUUGAUCUUAUUACAGUGCAUGCAAUACAUUGUACUGUUAUUCCUGGGCUUCUUAUUAUUAUGCUUAUUCUUUCAGGAGUUUCUGCAAAUAAUUCAGUAAUUUACAAAACCUAUGUUAUUUUCAUUUCUUCUACACUUUUCUAUAUUCUUCAACACAUU